This 510-nucleotide ribosomal RNA is filed under the name uncultured Lachnospiraceae bacterium. Its description in RNAcentral is "bacterial SSU rRNA". It matches the Rfam family "Bacterial small subunit ribosomal RNA", at positions 68 to 578 of the family's 1533-position model. Lineage: Bacteria; Bacillati; Bacillota; Clostridia; Lachnospirales; Lachnospiraceae. The record is from RNAcentral.
GAAGCGCUGUUUUCAGAAUCUUCGGAGGAAGAGGACAGUGACUGAGCGGCGGACGGGUGAGUAACGCGUGGGCAACCUGCCUCAUACAGGGGGAUAACAGUUAGAAAUGACUGCUAAUACCGCAUAAGCGCACAGGACCGCAUGGUGUAGUGUGAAAAACUCCGGUGGUAUGAGAUGGACCCGCGUCUGAUUAGGUAGUUGGUGGGGUAAAGGCCUACCAAGCCGACGAUCAGUAGCCGACCUGAGAGGGUGACCGGCCACAUUGGGACUGAGACACGGCCCAAACUCCUACGGGAGGCAGCAGUGGGGAAUAUUGCACAAUGGGGGAAACCCUGAUGCAGCGACGCCGCGUGAAGGAAGAAGUAUUUCGGUAUGUAAACUUCUAUCAGCAGGGAAGAAGAUGACGGUACCUGAGUAAGAAGCACCGGCUAAAUACGUGCCAGCAGCCGCGGUAAUACGUAUGGUGCAAGCGUUAUCCGGAUUUACUGGGUGUAAAGGGAGCGUAGACGG